Molecule: small nucleolar RNA, 77 nt
Organism: Diceros bicornis minor
Lineage: Eukaryota; Metazoa; Chordata; Mammalia; Perissodactyla; Rhinocerotidae
Product: small nucleolar RNA U2-19
Exons: 1
Source: RefSeq, a predicted model, not a curated record
GACCAGUGAUGAAAACAGACGAAUCUGAGCAUCAGAUCUUCCAGUCUACCUGAUGCAUGAUUUUUCUAGUUCUGAGA